UGCUGUUGAUUUUAUUGAUGAGGAGAGGAGAAAAAAAGUCACAAAGGCCUGAGGAAGAUAUUCAACGAAAGAAGGAAAUCAUGGAACUGAAGCGGUAUGGAAUGACACCUUUAAAGAAAGCUGUGGAUCUGCAGAUAUUGAAGGAAUUGGUCUCCAUGGGAUUUAUGAAGAACUUAAAUUGGCUGCAGAAGCCCUUAGAAGAAAUGACAAAUGACUUCAACAAAGUCCUGGGUGGAUUGACAAAUCCAGAAACAAAAUCUAUCAUAUCAUAAUAGAGCACUACAUACAUUGAGUUAAAGAAGAAUAAAAGACCGAGACAAGUAGUAGAUGCUGCUAUCGAAGAACUUGUAUCCAUGGGCUUCGAAAGAUGAAGAGUGGUUGAAGGUGUGCGGGCUUUUGGCACUAAAGAGUUGGGACUGAAUCAGCUAGUGGCGGAACCUGCAUCAGAUCUCACAGUCCCAAAUAAUGAUGGUAUAGCUUCUGCUGCUCCAUUAAAUGAUAACUCGUGGGUUCAUCUAGCUUGAACAGCGAGGAUGCUGGUUUUUCUAGCUUCAA
Molecule: long non-coding RNA, 555 nt
Organism: Telopea speciosissima
Lineage: Eukaryota; Viridiplantae; Streptophyta; Magnoliopsida; Proteales; Proteaceae
Exons: 3
Source: RefSeq, a predicted model, not a curated record